This 713-nucleotide ribosomal RNA is filed under the name uncultured Carnobacteriaceae bacterium. Its description in RNAcentral is "bacterial SSU rRNA". It matches the Rfam family "Bacterial small subunit ribosomal RNA", at positions 41 to 739 of the family's 1533-position model. The record is from RNAcentral. Lineage: Bacteria; Bacillati; Bacillota; Bacilli; Lactobacillales; Carnobacteriaceae.
AGCAUGCCUAAUACAUGCAAGUCGAACGAUGACGUCACUGCUUGCAGUGAUUGAUUAGUGGCGAACGGGUGAGUAACACGUGAGGAACUUGCCCAUGAGCGGGGGACAACAUUCGGAAACGGAUGCUAAUACCCCAUAGGUGGAUUGGUCGCAUGACUAAUUCAUUAAAGGUGGCUCUGCUACCACUCAUGGAUAGCCUCGCGGCGUAUUAGCUAGUUGGUAAGGUAAUGGCUUACCAAGGCAGUGAUACGUAGCCGACUUGAGAGGGUGAUCGGCCACACUGGGACUGAGACACGGCCCAGACUCCUACGGGAGGCAGCAGUAGGGAAUCUUCCACAAUGGGUGCAAACCUGAUGGAGCAAUGCCGCGUGAGUGAAGAAGGUCUUCGGAUCGUAAAGCUCUGUUGUUAGAGAAGAACACGUGCUAGGUAACUACUAGCGCCCUGACGGUAUCUAACCAGAAAGUCACGGCUAACUACGUGCCAGCAGCCGCGGUAAUACGUAGGUGACAAGCGUUGUCCGGAUUUAUUGGGCGUAAAGGGAGCGCAGGCGGUCUGUUUAGUCUAAUGUGAAAGCCCACGGCUUAACCGUGGAACGGCAUUGGAAACUGACAGACUUGAAUGUAGAAGAGGAAAAUGGAAUUCCAAGUGUAGCGGUGGAAUGCGUAGAUAUUUGGAGGAACACCAGUGGCGAAGGCGAUUUUCUGGUCUAACA